This 278-nucleotide ribosomal RNA is filed under the name uncultured bacterium. RNAcentral describes it as "partial 16S rRNA". It matches the Rfam family "Bacterial small subunit ribosomal RNA", at positions 505 to 782 of the family's 1533-position model. The record is from RNAcentral.
GUGCCAGCAGCCGCGGUAAUACGAAGGGGGCUAGCGUUGCUCGGAAUCACUGGGCGUAAAGGGCGCGUAGGCGGCGUUUUAAGUCGGGGGUGAAAGCCUGUGGCUCAACCACAGAAUGGCCUUCGAUACUGGGACGCUUGAGUCUGGUAGAGGUUGGUGGAACUGCGAGUGUAGAGGUGAAAGUCGUAGAUAUGCGCAAGAACACCGGUGGAGAAAGCGGCCAACUGGACCAGUACUGCCGCUGAGGCGAGAAAGCGUGGGGAGAAAAAAGGAUUAGA